RNAcentral lists this ribosomal RNA (253 nucleotides) under uncultured bacterium. RNAcentral's name for it is "partial 16S ribosomal RNA". It matches the Rfam family "Bacterial small subunit ribosomal RNA", at positions 524 to 776 of the family's 1533-position model. The record is from RNAcentral.
UACGUAGGUCGCAAGUGUUGUCCGGAUUUACUGGGCGUAAAGCGCACGUAGGCGGUCUGUUAUGUCGGAUGUGAAAGCCCUCGGCUCAACUGAGGAAGUGCAUCCGAAACUGGCAGGCUAGAGUACUAAAGAGGGUCGCGGAAUUCCCGGUGUAGAGGUGAAAUUCGUAGAUAUCGGGGGGAACACCGGUGGCGAAGGCGGCGACCUGGGUAGAUACUGACGCUGAGGUGCGAAAGCGUGGGGAGCAAACAGG